Non-coding RNA from Myodes glareolus (Bank vole), 2026 nucleotides. The record is from RefSeq and is a predicted model, not a curated record. NCBI's taxonomy places the organism in Eukaryota, Metazoa, Chordata, Mammalia, Rodentia, Cricetidae.
AUUAGCCCACUCAUGAGCAGCGCAGUGGGAGCUACACUCCCUUCAGGAAGCCCCGCCGGAGCCUGCUGUUAGGAACAGGAAAGUGGGAAGACUGGGGGAAUCACAGCUAGAAGCUGUUCAAGUCUGAGGCCCGCUAGGCCACGAGGAGGUACCCUGUCUCAGAAAACAGCGGCUGAAGUAGAGAGAGAGACAGGCAUUCUGGGAUUGAGGAUUCUAAAACUGGAUUUUAUACUUUGGUGACCAAAUUUCAUUCUUCUAAGCAGCAGUAACUGGACCAAGAGGCAGCAGAUGACAGACUCACUGAAGGGAGGCCGUGUCUGCCUCUCCUAUCCCCAACCACAUCCGUCACCUACCCAUUUCUCUUGGAGCCUGUUCACUUCCUCCUCGUGGGCCACCUUCUGUCGCUCCAGAGCUGCCUGCCCCUCUUGUUCAGCUUGGGCCAGCUGCCUGGCUACUGCAUCCCGCUCCUGCUCUGCCCGGUUCCUCUCGGCAUCCAGUUCCAGCUUCAGGCACUUCACUUCCCCUAGGAUGGCAGGCAAGAUCACCCCUGAGCCUCUGCCGCAUGCCAUUUACCUGAUAAUACUCUCUCUGCCCGCCCACCUCGUGAGCAACUUCCAUCUCAGAGGCCCUGAGUCUGGUAGGAGAAAGCUCCCAUUGCCUUCCUGGCUGAUAACAUCACCAUGGAAAACAGCGUGCUCCACCCCAGUGGGCUCUCACCUUGAAUGACUUCCUUGGCUUGAGUAAUAGUUUGAAUCUGGAUCUCCAGUUGCCCCUUGGUGACCUCAAUCACAGAAUUUUGCUGUUGGGCUUCAAAGAGAUUGCUCUCCAGCUGUUCCUUGGCUGACCUGAGAUUUGGGAAUCAGGAAGAGUUCUAAGCCAUCAAGCCCCUUACCCUUUCUCAGGAGCGACUGGAGCAGUACAGGCUACAGGAAGUUAUGGGGCAACUGCACGUCUACAGCUCAUUGAGAAUUCAUACUCUUAGGACAGGGAGCUCUGCUUAGCCUUGCAAAGCUCCCUGUGCUUGCCUGAGCCAGUGUGGACCCUACCUGAGCCCCAGAACUUGUUCAGCGAGGUCAUGUCGGUCCCGCUCCACAGCCUGCAGGCGCACCUCAAGAGCUGCCCUCUCCCGGACGAGGGCCUCCUUCUCCUGGACUGCUCUAGCAAGUGUUUCUUCCUGUCGCUCUGCAUUCUGAUGCAGCUGCUCUAGCUGAGCUGCGGCUGCUUCUUGCUGGUGAUGCACCUGAGGAGAACGAGGAGCUACAGAGUGAGGCAGAGCCCAGGGCGGCUGCCAGCAGGUCAGGGCGAGGGGUCUUUGAAGAUUCUGGGCUCAGCACUUGACAUUGCUGACUCAGGAAUAACUGGUAUUUGUUUAUUUCCUUGAUCAGGAGGCCUAGGGCAAAAAGGAUGCUCUCCUAUGAGUGAGACUCUGCUGGGGACAGCAGGACCCAUAUAUACACCAGGAACCUGGUUAAUAUCUGAGAAGGGACUCUUAAGAAAGGGAUUAUGUUCAAGUAUUAGGACAAUGAAAGGUUCGGUAGGAAAAGCAAGACUGUCAUCAUUAACUUUCAUUGUCAGUUUGGUGAUUUAGAAUCACCUAGGAGGGGGUUGGAGAGAUGGCUCAGUGGUUAAGAGAACUGACUUCUCUUCCAGAGGACCUGGGUUCUAUUCCCAGCACCCACAUGGCAGCUCACAACUGUCUGUAACUCCAGAAAUAUAAGUGCAUGACCACCAUAGACUCACCCAGAGGUGUGUCUCUGAGGGCGUUAAUAGAAGGAAAACCAUCUGAAUAUAGAUGGCAUCAUCCCAUGGGCUGGAGUCUCAGAUUCAAUUAAAAGGGGGAAAAGCCCAGCAGACACUUCAAUUCCCCUUCUCUGCCUCCUGGUGGCUAAGAUGUAAGCAAGUAGCUGCCACAAACCCUGGCCACCAUAUAGACAUCAGCUGCCAUGCUUUCCCACUAGGGAGGGCCAUAUCCCCACAAACUCACAGUCAAAGAAAAAAAAAAAAAAACCAAAACCAACAAAACAAA